UAGAAAACAUCCAAGGAACAGCAGAGAUUGAAGGGAGCAAAGGAGCUGAAGGUCAACAUAAAACAAGGAAGAAACAAAUAGGAAAGCCAGUACCAGAGCUCAGGAAAUCCAUUAGGCAGACUAAGAAACCUGAAUGGCAGAGAGAUUACCAUCUAUAUCAACUUACCAACAGACCAGUCGAUAGCAGACUCAAGCUUUGGAUAAGUUGAUUAACUCUGGAAUUUUAGAUACAUUAAAUUCAGACAUUACACAUAGGAUUUUAGAGGCUGUGAUGAAAUAAAGAUAACAUGGAAUAUAAAGAAUAAGACGAAAGACAGUUUUUAAAGUUUUAAUAUGUAAAUAUUACCUGAAAGAGAAGUCAUUCAUAUACAUGUACUUCAAGAAUGAAGUUAAAUGUCCUUAUCAAGUGAAAUUUGAUAUCAACUACAGAUGAAUUCUGUGUUUAACUUGAAAUGGAACAUGAUAGUAUAUGUAUGAAGCAUGAUUUAUAGAAUGAAACAAACAUCAUCUUUUGAAUUAAGUGUGAAAAAUAUGAGGUAUAUUACUUCAUAUACAAUAACUUGGUGAGCUGACAAGGAAGAAGCUAAUGAAACUUAGGUGAGCUUCAUUAACUACUUGAUAGCUAAAAUAUCUGUGUUAUUAUAGUGUAAUAUUUUUAUCAUAUUUUCAGGUAACUAUAUGCUUGUUUUUAUUACAAAUUGCGAGGACGCAAUUUUCAGAGAGGGCGACAACAGUUAUUUAUUGAGUAAUUUUUUUGUUGUAUAUAGAAAUUAAUUUCAGUUGCAGAAAAUGGACCUGAAGUGGAAAUAUUUUUGUUUGUUUUGGGUUGUGACAUACAAACUAAGAUAUUGAUAAGUUAUACUUAGUUUAUACUUAGUAUAAUAAUCUAAUUAGAAUUAGAUUAUGAACUUUAGUUUAUUUAAGUAUUAAUACCUAAAGUAUUAAUGAUGAACUUUUUGCAGAUGUUAGAUAAAUGACGGGACGUCAUUUUCCGGACCGGGGGAGUGUGUAACCGGGUUGAAUUUAUUACAUUUAUAUUUAUUAACUCUCGGUUAAUACUUAAUCAUGUUCCUUUCCGAUUAAUCCCUGUUUGUCGUCUUUCUACUUUUACUUUCGGUUUUGUAGUUAUUUUUAGUUCCCGCGCUUUGGUCAUGUGAUUAGUCAUGUGGUAGUUUUAUACCUGUUGUACGUCAUUCUUUCGCUAUAACUGACAGAGGUCAGACAUGUUUUAUAGAGAGAAGUGAAACGUUUGUCUUGAGUUUUUUAAACUCGGCUAGCAGUGUGAGGUGUAGCAUUUUAUCCUUUUGUAAAGUAGAUACAUUAACCGGAGCACAGACAGAGAGACGUGGUGUGUGUCAUGUAUUGUUACAGAAAGGGUUUGAUCCCAUCAGAUCAACCUGAAAGGUUUUGGUAUCUGUCCAUAAGAAGGAAUAGUAUUUGGAAGAGUGCUGGUAUUAACUGUUAUCAACUGGUAUUAAAUACAAUAAAGUAUAAAAGAUCGAACAAGUCUUCUUGGAUGUGUUUGGCCAUAGUAGAUAGUCGCAGAUCCCAAGAUUACAUAUGCACUGUGAAUCAUCUUAUGCUUCUAUGCUGAUGAUUAUUUGACCAAAUGUUAAGGCUUUAGUGUAAUAUGCAAGAGAAAAAUACUCGGCCUGAAAAUAUGAACUGAUAUUGAGUUGUGCCUGUGGCGAUGCCUUAAUGUUAGCAAGCUUACUUUCAUGUUUCAUGUUCACUGUAUUAAUCGGCGAUUUUAUGACCAUUUUGUGUCGAUCCGCCGUAUGACCUAACUCACUCACUUGCUGUAAUAAGGUAAAGUGUUUCCUGUAUUUUUUUAGGGAUAAAAUGAUAAAGGUAAGGAAAAUGACACCGCAGCAUUAUGAAACGAUUAUUUUACCACUGCAUUGUUCUACUAAGUCCUUGUGAUAAAGCAAUUCGAUUGAUACCAAUCAAUUUAAAAAGCAGACAUAGGGUAAAACAUUAUGCGGAAUAUUCCAUUAAGACGUCGCAAUAUAUAUUUUAUAAUAUAGCUAGCUUCAGUUAAACACAACUGUAGCAUAAAACAUGUGAAAAGAUCCUUUGGAAGCGUAGAACGCAAUCAAUCAAAAUAACAAACUCGAUUUGACUGAGUUUGUUCAUUAGAGGUAAUGAAAUGUGCAUUACCUCUCAAGUACUCUAGCACCAGCCUAAGCGGAAUUCUAUUAUAGUAAAAAUGAUUGUACUCUAGGAUCCAAGAUGACUAGAAAAUAUAACAACAUUAAGUUUAAGUACGGGGAAACAUUCGGCACUUCAAGACUGCCGUUUUGAUAGUUCAUAAAAUCGGUGAAAAAAUAACAACAUCUAAGACGUUGCAUCCUCUUCCCACGACGGAGGUAUCAGGUAACUGCGUAAUACAUUUCAAUUUAUCAAUCUGAAUCUCUCAUAUCUUUCAUUCAGAUUGUGUAGUUAUCAUUAUUAUUAUAUCAUUAUCAUUUUCUAUGAAUCAGAUAUCUAAAUAUAUCUAAAUAUAUAAACUGGCGCAAUUCCAUAUAUAUUUGUUAGUCUAUUGGACACAUCACAAAGAAGUCGCUCUACUUUACGUAAUUUCAGACAGUUGAAGAAUAAUUCAUUGAAAACAUUUUCUUCCGCUGAUUGUGAUGUUAUAGCUUUUAGAAAAUGAAAUUGGGGGAGGGGUGGGGGAGUAUUUCAAUACGUAAGCACAGCUGCAUUAAAAUUCUUGACACAAUGGCUGUAAGUGAAUAAGUGUUUCUUAAG
Molecule: long non-coding RNA, 2751 nt
Organism: Mercenaria mercenaria
Lineage: Eukaryota; Metazoa; Mollusca; Bivalvia; Venerida; Veneridae
Exons: 3
Source: RefSeq, a predicted model, not a curated record